AUGGAGUUGUGGCUGAGCUCCAUUGUUCUUGUUGCUAUUUUUAAAGGUGUCCAGUCUGAGGUGCAGCUGGUGGAGUCUGGGGGAGGCUUGGUGAAGCCUGGGGGUUCCCUGAAUCUCUCCUGUGCAGCCUCUGGAUUCACCUUCAGUAGCUAUGGGAUAACCUGGGUCUGCCAGGUUCCAGGGAAAGGGCUGGAGUGGGUGGCAGUUAUCUGGUACCAUCGUAGUCAGAACUACUAUGCAGAGUCUGUGCAGGGCAGAUUCACCAUCUCCAGAGACAAUAGCAAGAUCCAGCUGUAUCUGCAAAUGAACAGCCUGAGAGUGGAGGACACUGCCAUUUAUUACUGUGUAAAUGACACAAUGAAAAGACUUCAGUUAAAGCCCAGACACAAACCUCCUUGCCAGGCACUCAGGCCCCUCACAGGGGAUGAACACCAGGAGGGGGCGCUCAGUACACACUGA
Molecule: non-coding RNA, 459 nt
Organism: Castor canadensis (American beaver)
Lineage: Eukaryota; Metazoa; Chordata; Mammalia; Rodentia; Castoridae
Source: the annotation of a RefSeq genome assembly